UAUAGUCUGCAUCUGAGUACCGAGGCGACGGUGGUGUAGUGAUGGUGGUGGUGGUGGUUCCAGAGCUUAACCGAAUCCUUUUUUUGAAUAAAAUGGAGGCGGCUUUGGGACUGAUGCGAUGGAUUCAUCCUAAGCACUCGGAGAUGGCUCUCUCCGCACUGCUUGGUCUCCUCUGAUCACCUCUCUCAACUCAAUCAAUCUAUCUAGAAAUGGACGGUGUUGAUGAUUAGAAGAAGAAUCUAAAGGAGGAAAAGCUUCGAUUUUAAGGAAAUAUAAUUUUUGUCGAAACUAGCACUAUGGUUAGUGAGAGUGUGGUAUCUAAAAUAGCACAAAGUGGGCAAGAGGAGCAAAACAAUGAAACCUAGAAGGAGAGUGGGGCUUCAAAGCCCUAGCCGGAGGAGGAUUCAAAGUCUAGACAUAAUGACCUCAUGCUCAAGUCUGCUGAUCCAAACAACCAAGAAUUUGAGUGGAAGAAGCAAAUGUUUACAGUUUUGGAAUUGUUGCCUUGGAAAUUGUCAGUGGAAGAAGCAACAUUACUUAUAGGCCAAAAGAAGAAUGCAUCUAUCGUCUUGAUUGGGAAGCAUCUUCAAGGAUGAAUGGCUGUCUGAACUACAAGCGGCACUCAUUAAAAGGGAAGGGGAAUUUGAUGGGUCUAGUCGACCCCAGAUUGGGCUUAGACUUCAACAAGGAAGAGAUCAUGGUGAUGAUCAACAUAGCUCUCCUGUGCACAAACGUCUCUCCAGCAGUCAGGCCAGCUAUGCCAUCAGUUGUGAACAUGCUUGAAGGCAGAAUUGCUGUUCCGGACAUUUGUUUCUGAUCCCAGUGCUCCUUGUGAUGACUUAAAGCUCAAGGAGAUGAUAUCGCUACGUCCAAGAAAAGAGCAUGGGUUUAGCAGUGGUGUGGCAUCUUAUUCAUACUAAGCUGAGUGUGUUAAAGGAUGUAAUGUUGAUAUUAAAUGAUUAAAGUAUUAAUAUUCUUUGUGUGAAUUUAUAGGCUUUAAUUGUUUUUAGCUAAGUUCAUCUUUUGUUUUUUUUUUUUUUUAUAUUGAUCCUAAUUCAUGUCAAGUUAAUGAUUCA
This is an RNA transcript of Vitis riparia (riverbank grape), 1076 nucleotides long. It is a transcript of the gene named probable LRR receptor-like serine/threonine-protein kinase At1g53430, with no coding region annotated. The transcript is spliced from 6 exons. The record is from RefSeq and is a predicted model, not a curated record. Lineage: Eukaryota; Viridiplantae; Streptophyta; Magnoliopsida; Vitales; Vitaceae.